UCAUAUUUUAACACACACAUGUGAAACUAAAAAUUCAUAGUUUCAACAAUAUCGUCUGAGAAUGAAGAUGUACUCAUACUAUUGGUAGCUUCAUAGUAAAAAAAAUAAAAAAACAAUAUUGGAUUAAUUAGAUUCAUUCACUUUUAAAUAAUAAGCAGCAUAGUAGGUAUGUAGUUGCAAAGAAAUUAUCCAGCAAUGAGGAUAAAUUCCGAAAUUUUUAUAGAAUGUCUUAAGCUGCGUUUCACUGUUUAGUGCAUUUAGUUGGACCACAGUGGUAUAACAAAUAAGAAAGAUUUCAACUGGAAAAUGGCUUUGGGAUCAGAAAAAAUGUAAAAUAUAAUAUAAUAUA
Non-coding RNA from Cinara cedri, 349 nucleotides. The record is from the annotation of a GenBank genome assembly. NCBI's taxonomy places the organism in Eukaryota, Metazoa, Arthropoda, Insecta, Hemiptera, Aphididae.